GCUGGGUGUGGUGGCGCAUGCCUGUAAUCCCAGCUACUCAGGAGGCUGAGGCAGGAGAAUUGCUUGAACCCAGGAGGCGGAGGUUGCAGUGAGCCAACAUCGUGCCACUGCACUCCAGCCUGGGUGACAGAGCAAGACUCUGUCUCAA
Macaca fascicularis (crab-eating macaque) is the source of this 148-nucleotide unclassified non-coding RNA. It matches the Rfam family "Metazoan signal recognition particle RNA". Rfam says of the family: The signal recognition particle (SRP) is a universally conserved ribonucleoprotein. It is involved in the co-translational targeting of proteins to membranes. The record is from Ensembl. Lineage: Eukaryota; Metazoa; Chordata; Mammalia; Primates; Cercopithecidae.